This 222-nucleotide long non-coding RNA is filed under the name Lathyrus oleraceus (garden pea). Its description in RNAcentral is "Pisum sativum (pea) long non-coding RNA (PSAT_LNC012398)". The record is from RNAcentral. Lineage: Eukaryota; Viridiplantae; Streptophyta; Magnoliopsida; Fabales; Fabaceae.
UUUUUGUAUUAUGUGUAAAUGGUUAUGGAUAUUCUUCAAUUGAAAGGAAGGAUGACCAAGUGAGUCUAAAAAAUAAAGAUGUGUAUUCUGGGUGAAAUGAAAUAACAGGAAGUUCUUUUUUAGUUUAUACAUACCUUGGUCAGUUUUUUUAUUUAAUUCAGUAUCAUCAUUAUUCAGGUUGAAAUGUUAAACCUAUAUAUGUAAACAUUAGUUUUUUGGUAG